RNAcentral lists this ribosomal RNA (382 nucleotides) under uncultured eukaryote. Its description in RNAcentral is "partial 18S ribosomal RNA". It matches the Rfam family "Eukaryotic small subunit ribosomal RNA", at positions 592 to 976 of the family's 1831-position model. The record is from RNAcentral.
CAAUAGCGUAUAUUAAAGUUGUUGCAGUUAAAAAGCUCGUAGUUGGAUUUCUGGUUGAAGCGACCGGUCGGGCGUUGAUUCGUCUGCACUGGAGUCGGUUUUGGCCAUCCUCUAGGAAAGUGCGUCUGGUAUUAAGUUAUCGGGCGUAUGAUCCUGGUCUUUUACUGUGAAAAAAUUAGAGUGUUUAAAGCAGGCCUUUGCCUUGAAUACAUUAGCAUGGAAUAAUAAGAUAGGACUUUGGUCUAUUUUGUUGGUUUGCAGACCGAAGUAAUGAUUAAUAGGGAUAGUUGGGGGUAUUUAUAUUCCGAUGUCAGAGGUGAAAUUCUUAGAUUUUCGGAAGAUAAACUUAUGCGAAAGCAUUUACCAAGGAUGUUUUCAUUAA